RNAcentral lists this transfer RNA (71 nucleotides) under Marilia sp. XG-2021. RNAcentral's name for it is "tRNA-Pro". Lineage: Eukaryota; Metazoa; Arthropoda; Insecta; Trichoptera; Odontoceridae. The record is from RNAcentral.
CAAGAAAUAGUUUAAUUUUAAAAAUAAUAAUUUUGGAGAUUAUAGAUAACAAGUCAGAGUGUUUUUCUUGA